GAUGAAGAACGCAGCGAAAUGCGAUAAGUAGUGUGAAUUGCAGAAUUCAGUGAAUCAUCGAAUCUUUGAACGCACAUUGCGCCCCAUGGUAUUCCGUGGGGCAUGCCUGUUCGAGCGUCAUUUACCCCCUCAAGCUCCGCUUGGUGUUGGGCGUCUGUCCCGCUUCGCGCGCGGACUCGCCCCAAAGGUAUUGGCAGCGGUCGUGCCAGCUUCUCGCGCAGCACAUUGCGCUUCUCGAAGCACCGGUGGGCCCGCGUCCAUCAAGCUCACCCCCCCAGUUUGACCUCGGAUCAGGUAGGGAUACCCGCUGAACUUAAGCAUAUCAAUAAGCGGAGGA
This 337-nucleotide unclassified non-coding RNA is filed under the name soil metagenome. Its description in RNAcentral is "partial contains 5.8S ribosomal RNA, internal transcribed spacer 2, and large subunit ribosomal RNA". The stretch from base 1 to 120 matches the Rfam family "5.8S ribosomal RNA", at positions 35 to 154 of the family's 154-position model. The record is from RNAcentral.